Molecule: ribosomal RNA, 509 nt
Filed under: uncultured bacterium
Lineage: Bacteria
Description: partial 16S ribosomal RNA
Rfam family: Bacterial small subunit ribosomal RNA
Source: RNAcentral
GACGAACGCUGGCGGCGUGCUUAACACAUGCAAGUGGAGCGACUAAGCGGGCUUCGGCCCGUGGCAAAGCCGCGAACGGGUGAGUAACACGUGGGUAACCUGCCCUGAUGACCGGGACAACCCGAGGAAACUCGGGCUAAUACCGGAUGUGGUCCACACACAUGAGUGAUUGGACUAAAGGUAGCUUCGGCCUCCGCAUCAGGCUGGGCCCGCGGCGCAUUAGCUUGUUGGUGAGGUCAUGGCUUACCAAGGCGACGAUGCGUGACUGGUCUAAGAGGACGAUCAGCCACACUGGGACUGAGGACAGGGCCGGGCUCUUACGGGCGUCAGCAGUGGGGGAUCUUGCGGAAUGCGCGGAGACGUGACGCAGCAACGCCGCGUGAGGGAAGACGGCUGUCGGGUUGUAAACCUCUUUCAGGAGGGACGAAGCCUGGCUGGUGAAUAGCCUGUCCAGGUGACGGUACCUCCACAAGAAGUCCCGGCUAACUACGUGCCAGCCGCCGCCGUAA